AAUAGGAAGUCAUGCUGGUCAAUUUUAUGGAUCCGCUUAUAGGCCAUCAACGCCAAACACCAUAGCCGGUGAUACUUAUAGGCCUGCACCAUUCAUGGAAAGCUCAAAGGGCUUGCCAAACACCAUACCUGGUGAUUCUAGUAGGACACCGCCGUACUUGGAAGUCUCUCCGGGGUUGCCAAACACCAUACCUAGUAAUGCUUAUAGGCCUGCACCAUACAUGGAAAGCUCUAAGGGUUUGCCAAACACCAUACCUGGUGAUUCUAAUAGGACACCACCGUACUUGGAAGUCUCUCCGGGGUUACCAAACACCAUACCCAGUAAUGCUUAUAGGCCUGUUCCAUACAUGGAAAGCUCUAAGGGUUUGCCAAACACCAUACCUGGUGAUGCUAAUAGGCCAUCACCAAAACUGGAAGGCUCUAUGGAGUUGCCGAACACCAUAAAUGGUGAUGCUUAUAGGCCACCACCAUAUUUGGAAGGCUCUAUGGGGUUGCCAAACACUAAGCCUCCACCAC
Molecule: long non-coding RNA, 515 nt
Filed under: Solanum tuberosum (potato)
Lineage: Eukaryota; Viridiplantae; Streptophyta; Magnoliopsida; Solanales; Solanaceae
Description: long non-coding RNA (STUB_LNC006840)
Source: RNAcentral